RNAcentral lists this ribosomal RNA (253 nucleotides) under uncultured prokaryote. RNAcentral's name for it is "partial 16S ribosomal RNA". It matches the Rfam family "Bacterial small subunit ribosomal RNA", at positions 524 to 776 of the family's 1533-position model. The record is from RNAcentral.
UACAGAGGUCCCAAGCGUUGUUCGGAUUCACUGGGCGUAAAGGGUGCGUAGGUGGCGAGGUAAGUCGGAUGUGAAAGCUCGGAGCUCAACUCCGAAAUGGCAUUGGAAACUACCUUGCUCGAGGGUUGGAGGGGGGACUGGAAUUCUCGGUGUAGCAGUGAAAUGCGUAGAUAUCGAGAGGAACACCAGUGGCGAAGGCGGGCUACUGGGCCGAUACUGACGCUGAUGCGCGAAAGCCAGGGGAGCGAACGGG